Paenibacillus sp. is the source of this 128-nucleotide regulatory RNA element. It matches the Rfam family "epsC RNA". NCBI's taxonomy places the organism in Bacteria, Bacillati, Bacillota, Bacilli, Caryophanales, Paenibacillaceae. The record is from Rfam.
GGGUAAUGUCUACUGUACCCUUAUCAUUGUAGGCACUCGGCCGUGCUGUGGGUCUCCGACCUUAGCGUCUCCAUUCGGAGGAAAAUGGCAAGCGCAAUGGUGCGGUGCGAGGUGGGGUUAGAUGCCCC